Molecule: ribosomal RNA, 468 nt
Filed under: uncultured bacterium
Lineage: Bacteria
Description: partial 16S ribosomal RNA
Rfam family: Bacterial small subunit ribosomal RNA
Source: RNAcentral
GACGAACGCUGGCGGCGUGCUUAACGCAUGCAAGUCGAACGGAAAGGCCCUGCUUUUGUGGGGUGCUCGAGUGGCGAACGGGUGAGUAACACGUGAGUAACCUGCCCUUGACUUUGGGAUAACUUCAGGAAACUGGGGCUAAUACCGGAUAGGAGCUCCUGCUGCAUGGUGGGGGUUGGAAAGUUUCGGCGGUUGGGGAUGGACUCGCGGCUUAUCAGCUUGUUGGUGGGGUAGUGGCUUACCAAGGCUUUGACGGGUAGCCGGCCUGAGAGGGUGACCGGCCACAUUGGGACUGAGAUACGGCCCAGACUCCUACGGGAGGCAGCAGUGGGGAAUAUUGCACAAUGGGCGGAAGCCUGAUGCAGCAACGCCGCGUGCGGGAUGACGGCCUUCGGGUUGUAAACCGCUUUCGCCUGUGACGAAGCGUGCGUGACGGUAAUGGGUAAAGAAGCACCGGCUAACUACGUG